Molecule: transfer RNA, 72 nt
Filed under: Octopus vulgaris (common octopus)
Lineage: Eukaryota; Metazoa; Mollusca; Cephalopoda; Octopoda; Octopodidae
Also listed under: 4 other names
Rfam family: tRNA
About the family: Transfer RNA (tRNA) molecules are approximately 80 nucleotides in length. Their secondary structure includes four short double-helical elements and three loops (D, anti-codon, and T loops).
Source: Rfam by way of RNAcentral
GGUUCUAUGGUGUAAUGGUUAGCACUCUGGACUCUGAAUCCAGCGAUCCGAGUUCGAGUCUCGGUAGAACCU